ACCGCACAAGCGGUGGAUGAUGUGGAUUAAUUCGAUGCAACGCGAAAACCUUACCUACCCUUGACAUGUCCGGAAUCCCGAAGAGGUUUGGGAGUGCUCGCAAGAGAGCCGGAACACAGGUGCUGCAUGGCUGUCGUCAGCUCGUGUCGUGAGAUGUUGGGUUAAGUCCCGCAACGAGCGCAACCCUUGUCAUUAGUUGCCAUCAUUUGGUUGGGCACUCUAAUGAGACUGCCGGCGACAAACCGGAGGAAGGUGGGGAUGACGUCAAGUCCUCAUGGCCCUUAUGGGUAGGGCUUCACACGUCAUACAAUGGUCGGUACAGAGGGUUGCCAACCCGCGAGGGGGAGCUAAUCCCACAAAGCCGAUCGUAGUCCGGAUCGCAGUCUGCAACUCGACUGCGUGAAGUCGGAAUCGCUAGUAAUCGUGGAUCAGCAUGUCACCGGUGAAUACGUUCCCGGGUCUU
RNAcentral lists this ribosomal RNA (463 nucleotides) under uncultured Rhodocyclaceae bacterium. Its description in RNAcentral is "bacterial SSU rRNA". It matches the Rfam family "Bacterial small subunit ribosomal RNA", at positions 920 to 1382 of the family's 1533-position model. Lineage: Bacteria; Pseudomonadati; Pseudomonadota; Betaproteobacteria; Rhodocyclales; Rhodocyclaceae. The record is from RNAcentral.